Molecule: ribosomal RNA, 450 nt
Filed under: uncultured bacterium
Lineage: Bacteria
Description: partial 16S ribosomal RNA
Rfam family: Bacterial small subunit ribosomal RNA
Source: RNAcentral
CCUACGGGUGGCUGCAGUGAGGAAUAUUGGUCAAUGGGCGGAAGCCUGAACCAGCCAUGCCGCGUGCAGGAAGACGGCCCUACGGGUUGUAAACUGCUUUUCCGGGGGAAGAAUAAUCCCGAUGCGUCGGGAGACGACGGUACCCCGGGAAUAAGGAUCGGCUAACUCCGUGCCAGCAGCCGCGGUAAUACGGAGGAUCCGAGCGUUAUCCGGAUUUACGGGGUUUAAGGGGGGCCUCGGCGGGCGCGGAGAAGGGCGGCGGCUCAACCGUAGGACUGCCGUUGAUACUGGGGGCCUUGGAUUCGGUCGAGGCGGGCGGAAUGCGUGGUGUAGCGGUGAAAUGCUUAGAUAUCACGCAGAACGCCGAUUGCGAAGGCAGCUCGCCGGGCCGUUAUCGACGCUGAGGCACGAAAGCGUGGGGAUCGAACAGGAUUAGAUACCCGUGUAGUC